UGGGGAAUAUUGGACAAUGGGCGCAAGCCUGAUCCAGCCAUGCCGCGUGUGUGAAGAAGGCCUUUCGGUUGUAAAGCACUUUAAGCGAGGAGGAGGCUACUUGGAUUAAUACUCUAAGAUAGUGGACGUUACUCGCAGAAUAAGCACCGGCUAACUCUGUGCCAGCAGCCGCGGUAAUACAGAGGGUGCGAGCGUUAAUCGGAUUUACCGGGCGUAAAGCGUGCGUAGGCGGCUUCUUAAGUCGGAUGUGAAAUCCCUGAGCUUAACUUAGGAAUUGCAUUCGAUACUGGGAAGCUAGAGUAUGGGAGAGGAUGGUAGAAUUCCAGGUGUAGCGGUGAAAUGCGUAGAGAUCUGGAGGAAUACCGAUGGCGAAGGCAGCCAUCUGGCCUAAUACUGACGCUGAGGUACGAAAGCAUGGGGAGCAAACAGG
This 430-nucleotide ribosomal RNA is filed under the name bacterium. Its description in RNAcentral is "partial 16S ribosomal RNA". It matches the Rfam family "Bacterial small subunit ribosomal RNA", at positions 355 to 776 of the family's 1533-position model. The record is from RNAcentral.